RNAcentral lists this long non-coding RNA (528 nucleotides) under Callithrix jacchus (white-tufted-ear marmoset). Its description in RNAcentral is "lncRNA (ENSCJAG00000074337.1)". Lineage: Eukaryota; Metazoa; Chordata; Mammalia; Primates; Cebidae. The record is from RNAcentral.
CCUCAGCUGCAUUUUUCAAGAUAAAGUAGUUUGCAAAAUGUACCUGUUAGUAACUGAAUGGGUUGAUUUGUUAUAUGAAAUCAGUAGCUUUCAGUGUUGAAGAUGACUACCUUUUCCUUUGGCUUUGAGGAAUGUGGUAACAUGCGCUUCUUCCUGACAACUCUUAUAAAUCAGGUACAAAUGUCUACGGAAGUCAUGUCUAGAUUAUAAAAGGAUCAUUUUCAGAUGGAGAUUUGACUACUGAUAGGCAAAAAUUUUCUACCAAAAGAAAUCCUAUUUAUAUACUCUCAGUGUUAACAAGAAUAACAGGGUCCUGGGCAGAAGGAGGCUCAUCCAGAUCAAAAUCAGCUUGCCUAUCAAUGCUGUGAAGAGAUCUACUUAUUACAUGAAUACAAAUCAAAGGGUAUAGGAAGGCAAGAGGAGUCAUUUGGCUCAAUUAAAUGGAAAACAGAUGAUCUUGCCUCCAAUUGUGUGGAUAGUAUUGAGGUUCUCAGAGAGAAACUCAUUGGCUUACUUGUGAGAACCUGA